Molecule: ribosomal RNA, 274 nt
Filed under: uncultured bacterium
Lineage: Bacteria
Description: partial 16S ribosomal RNA
Rfam family: Bacterial small subunit ribosomal RNA
Source: RNAcentral
AUACGGAGGGUGCAAGCGUUACUCGGAAUCACUGGGCGUAAAGGGCGCGCAGGCGGUUUGGUAAGUCAGAUGUGAAAGCCCACGGCUCAACCGUGGAAGUGCAUUUGAAACUGUCAGACUUGAGUACUGGAGGGGAAAGUGGAAUUCCCGGUGUAGAGGUGAAAUUCGCAGAUAUCGGGAGGAAUACCGGUGGCGAAGGCGACUUUCUGGCUAGAUACUGACGCUGAGGCGCGAAAGCGUGGGGAGCAAACAGGAUUAGAAACCCCAGUAGUCC